CUCGGUCUCCGGUAGUGGUCUUCGGGACAGCGGCCGUCGCGGCCGCAGGAAGCCCGCGGACCUCGAUCGAAGACCGGC
Microlunatus phosphovorus NM-1 is the source of this 78-nucleotide regulatory RNA element. It matches the Rfam family "Actino-pnp RNA". The record is from Rfam. Lineage: Bacteria; Bacillati; Actinomycetota; Actinomycetes; Propionibacteriales; Propionibacteriaceae.